RNAcentral lists this ribosomal RNA (301 nucleotides) under uncultured bacterium. RNAcentral's name for it is "partial 16S ribosomal RNA". It matches the Rfam family "Bacterial small subunit ribosomal RNA", at positions 509 to 807 of the family's 1533-position model. The record is from RNAcentral.
CAGUCGCCACGGUAAUACGGAGGGUGCAAGCGUUAAUCGGAAUUACUGGGCGUAAAGCGUGCGUAGGCGGUUCGUUAAGUCUGUUGUGAAAGCCCCGGGCUCAACCUGGGAAUGGCAAUGGAUACUGGCGAGCUAGAGUGUGUCAGAGGAUGGUGGAAUUCCCGGUGUAGCGGUGAAAUGCGUAGAGAUCGGAAGGAACGCCCGUGGCGAAAGCGAGUCCCUGGACCCUUACUGACGCUGAGACGCGAAAGCCAGGGGAGCGAACAGGAUUAGAUACCCCCGUAGUCCCUGUCUCUUAUAC